Molecule: microRNA precursor, 95 nt
Filed under: Poecilia formosa (Amazon molly)
Lineage: Eukaryota; Metazoa; Chordata; Actinopteri; Cyprinodontiformes; Poeciliidae
Description: miRNA (ENSPFOG00000021184.1)
Rfam family: mir-2985 microRNA precursor family (bases 20-90)
About the family: RNAs can be post-transcriptional modified, in micro RNAs (miRNA) editing of pre-mRNA is a common process.
Source: RNAcentral
UGGCCACACCUAAAAGCUCAGCAUUAAGGUGGGUGGGAUAAUAUAACAAUAUCCUCUUUGUUGUUAUAGUAUUCCACCUACCCUGAUGUUUCCUU